ACACUUUGUGUACUUUCCCUUGCCCCCAUUUACAAGCGACGCAAGUAUACAAAAGUAAUUUUAACCAUUUCGACACUGGACACUAGAGGGUUUCAUUUGAGUGAUAUUUAGGAGAUGGAAGACAAACUAUUCCAUGUUCUAACUGAUAACUUUUGUUUUUAGCAUAUGAUCAUUAACUAUAAUGUUAUGGAUACAACACGUUCCAAAAAGCUGUUGCAGUUGAGGAAUGCACAUCAAACACAGGUUUGGAACAUCCCACGGGUGAACGGGCUAAAUGGGAACAGGAAAUAAUAGUCAAACUGUGGAAGGAAAACGAUUCUCAAUGUCCAUAGAAUCUGGACAAAUCACCGGACGUCAGCGUCAAGGCUGAAAACCGGCAUUGAGAACCCGUGACCUUCGAUGUCCAAAUGCGGCGCUGCAUCAAAACCUAAACAUUAAUCCCGAAAGUAUUUCACCACAUGGGCUCAGGAACACUUCAGAAAACCAAUGUCAGUAAAUAGUUUGGCGCUGCAUCCCUAAGGUGCAACUUAAAACCCACUUUGCAAAGCAAAAGCCAUUCAUCAACAACACCUAGAAACGCUGCCAGCUUCUCUCGGCACAAGCUCAUCGAAGAUGGACUGAUGCAAAGUGAGAAAUGUGUUCUGUGGUCUGACGAGUCCACAUUUCAAAUUGCAUGUGGAAACUGUGGACGUCAUGUCCAAAGAGCAAAAGAACCAUCCGGACUGUGACGGACGCAAAGUUCAAAAGUCAACAUCUUGAUGGUACAGGGCUGUGUUAGUGCAUCCGUGAGGCCACAUUCAUGCCAGAAGGUGCAUACAGGUUUUGAAGAAACAUGCUGCCGUCCAAGCAA
This is a long non-coding RNA of Hippocampus zosterae (dwarf seahorse), 850 nucleotides long. RefSeq lists it as uncharacterized. The record is from RefSeq and is a predicted model, not a curated record. NCBI's taxonomy places the organism in Eukaryota, Metazoa, Chordata, Actinopteri, Syngnathiformes, Syngnathidae. The transcript is spliced from 2 exons.